RNAcentral lists this long non-coding RNA (35032 nucleotides) under Lactuca sativa (garden lettuce). RNAcentral describes it as "long non-coding RNA (LSAT_LNC006708)". The record is from RNAcentral. Lineage: Eukaryota; Viridiplantae; Streptophyta; Magnoliopsida; Asterales; Asteraceae.
UUGGUCUAAUCUCAAGUUCUGGAGCUCCGAUUGACAUGAGUAUAGAAGUUCUGGAAACUAGACAAGAUUUUCUACAACUUUCGUGUUUUGUGCUUCUGCUAGUUAUGUCGUUUUGACUACCAAAACUUGCACAGAAGAUGAAGGACACCUCCAGACAUCUAAGACGUCCAGGUCAAACAGCCAACAUCUGGUCGUUAUUUCAGAGCAGAAAAGAAGGAAGAACCCCGUCAGCAUCUAACAUGGAAUCUAAGAUGUCCCCUAGGAUGUCUUGGCAUUUUAGGGACGUCCCGUGUUGGAACGGUGUGUUUAGGAAAGUUUAGAAAACAAGGCACGACGUCCUAGAACGCAUCUAAGACGUCUCCUAAGACGUUUGACGUUUUUGGCCAUUUUUUAGUAUAUUUCAAGGACGUACAAAGAUCGCUUGGGCGUUAUACACGACGUCUAAGAUGUCUCCUAGGACGUCCAACGUCCCACAUCGCCCAAUUUCAUUAUUUUUUAUCCCACACUAUAAAUAGGAGCCUAUUUCGUUGGUUAAAAUUCGGAUUCAAAGCAAGAUUCGAUUCAAUUCAUCAUCAAGCUAUAAGUGAAGAUCAUUUCAUUGGUUAAUUUUCAUCAAUUCUUUAUUUUCCAGAAUUAUUUCUUCUUCCCCAAGGUUUAUUUGUUCUACACUUCGAUAAUCAUUAGGCUACAUUUGUUUGAUGAUUCUACGUUUGUUUAUGAAUUCUAUAAUGGAUUUUAUUCAUUUUAAUCAAGUUAUUUGUCUUAUGAACUCAAUGGAAGGCUAAAUCAUUAGGGUUACUUCCGGGGAUGUUUAGGACUUUUUGAUGAACACACUUGAUUAUUACUUGAUUCUAGUUAAUUUCAAUUGUUGUUUUAUGCUUCAUGUGAUGAUCUUUUGGUAAUGAUAAUUGAAAUUGGGUUGUAUGAAUUGUUUGAUGUCAUAAUUAAGAUAGUCUAUUGUCAAUUCAUCAUUUGUUCCAAGUUCACAUAGUUUAGGAAUAAAGACAAGUGAUUGAAUCAACAUAUAUUAUUCCAACUUAUGAUAUUGAAUCUUAAUGCGGUAAUAGGUACUUGUAAGAUAUUUUAUUGCUAGUCCACUAAUUGUUCUUAAUCCAUUGAGGCAUAAAGGAGUAAGACAACUAGUUAAAUGAACAUUUAGUAUGCCCAAACUAUGUAUUACAAGUUAAUAAAUCCCAAUUGUAUCUAAGUAAUUGAAUUAGGAUUUAAGGGAAGAAAGUGUGUGAAUUUAAACUGUCCAUAACUGAACCGGGAGUACUCUAGUUUUCUCAUUGAGAUUUUCGUUGUAAUUAAUAAAUUUCCAUGCUUUUUGUUUGAUCUUUGCGUUAAAUUCUUUUUCGUGACAAUUGCUAGUAGCUUUUUUUCGUUGACUAUUUUAACACAAAGUUUGACAACAAACUCCCUGUAGAUUCGACCCUUACUUACCCUAGCUAUCUAGUGGUUUUGAGGUUAUUUUUGAUUGAUACAACGACAUCAAUCAUAAUUUGGCGCCUUUGUCGGGGAGAUUGUGCGCUUGAGCUAUUGUUUUUAAGUAGUUAUAGCCUUUUACUUUCAUUUUCAAUUCUCGUUUGUAGUUCACAUUUUGUUUUAUUUGUGUUGUGCAGGCACACUGGUGCAUGCAUACAAGACAUAGCAGACGCUCUUCACCGCUUGCAUUUGAUCCGGAAAUCGAACGAACAGCUCGCUCAAAUCGGGUCGCCAGAAGGAACAUCAACACUAUGAGUGUAGAUAAUGUUGUCGUGGAAGAUGUGGUUGAAGGGCAUGAGGAAGAAGCCAACAAUCCUCCACCACUAGUUCCACCACCAGCUCCUCAAUUCCCAAACAACAACAAUGGGAAUAACAACAAUGCCGGUGCACCAAUCAUCCAACCAGUGCAACCAUAACUGAAUAGAAACAACCGUGGCCAAAAUGGUGGAAACGGAGGAAAUUGGGCAUAGAAUAUGGGAGGCAAUGUAGGAAACCACACUGGUGGUAAUGUUAGAAAUCAUAACCAAAAUCCUAGAAAUGUUGGUCCUCAAUUCGGUAAUGGUGGUAAUGGUGGUAACGAGGAUGAUUGGGAUUUUGACGAUGGAAGUUACAACGGACUUGGUUGGAAUCAUAACCACAACGGUGGUAAUAGGCGGAAUCAAGGAAAUCGGGGUGGAAACGGGUACUAAAACAAUAACUGGAACAACCUGAAUUUCCCUAAUGGUGGCAACAAUUACUACAAUGAUGGGUUCGGAAAUCAAGGCUUUGGGAAUCAAUAUCGAAGGAAUCCAAAUGGUGGAUUCAACAAUGCGAAUGGAGGAUACUAAAAUGAAGGUAAUCAAUUCCCUCAUCUUUACUUUCUGCAGCCUAAUAGACAAUCUGUGGCGUCUCAUUUUCAGCCGAGAGAGUAUGAUGAUGCUUCACCCAUACUCUUCGCAGAAGUAAAUGAGCAUCAUGUAGAAGUAAGACCACAACUAAUUAGUGUCUUACCCGUCUUUAGAGGCCAUAAAACUAAUGAUCCAUACAAUCACCUCUAUGAGUUCCUUGCAAUUGCUAACGCGAAUACUCCGCGAGGAACUAAUAGAGAUUCAUUUAGACUUCUCUUAUUUCCGUUCACUUUAAAAGAAAAAGCUAAGUAUUGGUUCACUUCUCUUGCCCCCAUAGUAUCACUACUUGGGAGCAAUUAAAAACUAAAUUUUUGCAAGAGUUUUACCCAGCUAGUAAAACAACGGAAAUAAGAAAAGCCAUAGAAGAUUUUGCACAAAAACCCAAAGAAGAAUUUCAUGAUGCAUUUGAACGCCUCAAGGAAUUGUUCCGUUCAUGUCCCUAUCAUGAAUUUCCCCGUUGGCAACUGGUAGGUUUCUUUUAUGAUGGAGUCGAUACUGCCAAUCAAAGCAUGAUUAAUGCCUCGUCCGGCGGCAUUAUUAUGAUACAAGAUAGUGAAGACGCUUGGCGAUUCUUAGAGUAGUUGAGUCAUGGUUCAAAAACCAAUUACUCAGCUAAGAAACGGGACAAUCCAGUUUCAUCUGUUGCUUCAGUUGGACUAGACAAAAAACUGGAAAAAUGAAGUCAAAUCUGAUAUUAAUUCUUUAAAUAAAAUUUUUGACUUACUACUCUCUAGUCUAGGCAAAAAGAAAGGUGUGUUUUUUCGCAGGGACAGAAGAUAUGUGUAAGCUGUGGAGAUUCAUGACACAUUGCAGAUGAGUGCAUGAGAAUUCAAGAGGAAAUCAAUCAAGUGCAUGGUUAUGGUCAAUUCCAAAAUAAUCCACGAUCAUUCAAUCGGAACUACAUCCAAGGCGGGAACUACAACAACAUUGGGAUUUUCAACAACAACAACCGUCAAGGGAAUUACCAAAACCAAAAUCAGCCAAAACAGUUCCAGCAGUCCAACUUUAACCAAGGUGGAACAUCAAAGAAGGAGGAAAAUGAUGGCAACAAGUUGGACAAAAUCAUGGAGUUCAUAACCUAAACAUAUCAGAAAACCGACACUAACUCCAAGUCUAUAGCUGCUAUUGAGAAGCAAAUUGCUCAACUGGCGGAGCAAAUUGGGAAAAGAGAAGAUGGCAAGUUUCCAAGCACCACAACAGUGAACCCAUCUCAUACCCAGAGACCCCGAAAAGAGCAUCAAGUGAACGAGGUAAUUACCUUGUGUAGUGGAAAAAAGGUUGACAACAAGGUAAGUGCUUCUACAUUAGAUAAUGACAGUGACACUGAAGUCAUCUUUGAUGAAAAAGAAGAGUUUGAGAAAGAUUUUAAAUCCGAAAAACAAAAAGAAGAUAAGGUUAAAAAUGACUCUAAAGUUGGGGAGCAUGGUGUGGAGGUUAAUACCGCACCAUACCCUUCGGCUUUAGAGAAGCCGGCAUCCUUCCCUUUUGGGAAGCGAGGGCUAAAAAUGGAAGACAUGUGAGAUCUAUUUAGUCAAGUUAAAAUAAAUAUCCCAUUAGUCAAACUUAUUAAGGAGGUACCUUCUUAUGCUAAAUUUUUGAAGGAUUUGUGUGUUCAAAAACGCAAACUCCAAGCAUACCUCCCUAAAAAGAUUGAUUUAGUCAAGCAUGCGAGUUCGAUAAUAUCAAAUAAACUUCCACCCAAGCUUAAGGAUCAUGGAGCACCUUUAAUUUUUGUUACGCUAGGUAACAUUAAUAUAAAAAAGGCGCUCCUUGAUCUUGGAGCUAGUGUUAAUAUAAUCCCGGGAAAUUUUUUUGAUCAACAUGACUUAGGCACUUUGGAACAAACUGAUAUUAUUUUACGAUUGGCCGAUAAGUCAACAAAAAUUCCUUGGGGAAUAUUAUCAGAUGUUAUUAUUAAGGUGGGAGAUUUCUAUUACCCAGUUGAUUUUCUUAUGCUUGACACCGUGAGCACUUAUAAAGAAAGUCAACCUUCUAUUAUUUUAGGUCGUCCGUUAUUGACAGCAAUAAAUGCACAAAUUAAUUGUAGAACGGGUGCAAUGGAUAUCUCUUUUGGAAAUAGGAAACUUAGAAUUGAUAUUUUUAAUACGUUUCCUAACUCACCAUCAGAUUAUGAAUGUUAUCAUGUGGAUGUGGUUGAUGACUUAGUGCAUCAAUUCACUCUUAAAAUCUUACACCCUGAUCCAUUGGAGUUUUUUCUUUCUAAUGACAGGGACGAAGUUUUAGAGUUGGAUGACAUCAAGAUGGUUGAGGAGGCAUUUGAAAAUGUUAUUGAGCAAGAGAGGCCACCAUGGAGUUAUCAAGUUGAAAAAUUGCCAACAAGUUUUUCGGACCCACUUAAGCCAUCUUUGGAGGAGCCACCCAGUCUUGAACUCAAAACUCUUCCUUCACAUCAUAGAUACUCUUUUUUAGGAUCUAAGGAGAACUUACCAAUUACCAUAUCUUUUGAUUUGACAUGUCCACAGGAGGAAGCAUUACUGAAGGUGCUUUCGAAGUACAAGGGAGCAAUUGGAUGGACCAUAGCAGACUUGAAGGGAAUUAUUCCAGCCACAUGUAUGCAUUGAAUCAUCACUGAAGCUAGAGAAAAGCCAUCCCGAGAUGCACAACGAAGGCUCAACCCGAAUCUGCGAGAAGUUGUUAAAAAGGAGGUGUUGAAAUGGCUUGAUGCGGGUAUUAUCUACCCAAUAUUUGAUAGUGAUUGGGUGAGCCCGACACAGACAGUGCCAAAGAAGUCGGGCGUUACAGUGGUAGAUACAGAAGAUGGAGAGAAGAUCUCAACAAGAUCGGUCACCAGAUGGAGAGUUUGCAUCGACUAUCGCAAACUCAAUGCUGCAACAUCAAAUGACCAUUUCCCUCUCCCUUUUAUUGAUCAAAUAAUUGAGAAAUUGUAUGGUAAAAAGUUUUAUUGUUUUUUGGAUGGAUACUCGGGGUAUAAUCAAAUUGCCAUCCACCCCGAGUAUCAAUCCAAAAUGACAUUCACGUGUCCAUAUGGCACCUUUGCUUUCCGAAGGAUGCCAUUCGGCUUGUGUAAUGCCCCUGCCACAUUUUAAAGAUGUAUGAUGGCUAUUUUUUUAGACGUGGUGGGGGAUGCAUUAGAAAUUUUCAUGGAUGAUUUUUCUAUUUUUGGAUCAUCUUUUGAGACAUGCUUAGACCAAUUAGAAAAAGUUUUGAAACGUUGUAUUGACUCUAAUUUGGUUUUAAGUUGGGAGAAGAGUCAUUUCAUGAUAAAAUAGGGAAUUGUACUUGGCCAUGUUGUCUCCGAGCAUGGCUUUGAAGUCGACCGGGCCAUAGUACAAAUUAUUUCUACUCUUCUCCCACCAACUUCAGUAAAAGGCGCCCGUUCUUUUCUUGUACAUGCCGGCUUUUAUCGAAGAUUUAUCAAGGAUUUUAGUGCAAUGUCAAAACCUCUUUGUAAUUUACUUUUAAAAGAUGCACCAUUUUCCUUUGAUAAAGCAUGUCUUGAAUCUUUUACCACAUUAAAGAACAAACUUGUUGAAGCUCCUAUCUUGCAAUCACCCGAUUGGACUUUACAUUUUGAAAUUAUGUGUGAUCCAAGUGAUUACGCGGUAGGGGCAAUUUUGGGACAACGGGUGAAUAAAAAACCCAUUGCAAUUUGUUAUGCGAGCAAAAAAAUUUCGGAUGCACAAUUGAAUUACACUACUACCGAAAAAGAGUUGCUUGCGGUCGUGUUUGCACUUGAAAAUUUUAGAUCUUACAUAUGGGGAUCUAAAGUUGUAAUUUUUACCGACCAUAGUGCCAUUCACCACCUCUUGGAAAAGAAGGAUGCCAAACCACGUCUCAUAAGAUGGAUCCUUCUUCUUCAAGAGUUUAAUCUUGAAAUUCAGGACAAAAAGGGUUCUGAAAAUGUUGUGGUGGAUCAUUUAUAUAGAAUAACUAAUAAUGAUAACUCAACGAAAGUUAUUCAAGAAAACUUUCCAGAUGAGCAUAGUCUUGUUGUCAAAACUAUACCAUGGUUUGCUAAUUUAAUUAAUUACUUUGCGACAGGGGAAACUCCAUUGUAUUGGAAUGCUCAACAAAUGAGGUUCUUCCACUCUCAAACAAAAUACUACAUAUGGGAGGACCCAUAUAUUUUCAAAAUUGGAGCAGAUCAAGUGAAUAGGAGAUGUGUACCACAUACAGAGCAAGAAGACAUUCUUCGACACUGCCAUUCAUAUACAUGUGGAGGGCAUUUUAGUGCCAAAAGGCAGGGCAUCGGGUUCUACAAAGCGGUUUUUUCUGGCCCUCUAUUUUUAAAGAUGCACAUACAUUCGUUAAAGCUUGUAUUCGUUGCCAACAAGUUGGGGGGAUCUCAAGACGGGACAUGAUGCCAAUGACCCCAAUUUUAGUAGUUGAAAUCUUUGAUGUAUGGGGCAUUGAUUUCAUGGGUCUGUUCCCCACUUCUUUUGGCAAUCUAUACAUUCUUGUAGCCGUUGAUUAUGUAUCAAAAUGGCUCGAAACCGAGGAUACACACACGAAUGACCAUAGUGUUGUUUGUAAAUUUGUUAAAAAGAACAUAUUUUCUACACACGGAAUCCCUCGAACUAUUAUUAGUGAUGGGGGCUCCCAUUUUAAAAAUUGGCAUUUUGCAAAGUUACUUAAACACUAUAGUGUCACACAUAUGAUAGCUACUCCAUAUCACCCACAAACAAAUGGACAAGUAGAAGUGUCAAAUAGGGAAAUAAAACGAAUCUUGGAGAAGACUGUUCAUCCCGACCGAAAAGAUUGGUCAUUAAGAUUAGAUGAUGUGUUAUGGGCAUAUCGAACAACCUAUACGACGCCCAUUGGAAUGUCUCCGUAUCGGCUUGUUUAUGGAAAGCCAUGCCAUCUCCCGGUGGAGUUAGAACACCGUGCCAUGUGGGCCAUAAAAAAUGCUAACUUUGAAUUGAGUGAUGCAGGUAUAGAAAGGAAACUCCAAAUUGUUGAAUUGGAAGAGAUUCGAAAAGAAGCUUACGAAAGCUCAAGGAUCUAUAAAGAAAAGACGAAGGCAUUUCAUGACCGACAUAUUGUCCGAAAACAAUUCGUUAAAGAACAAUUGGUGUGGCUAUUCAACUCUCGUCUCAAACUCUUCCUCAGAAAGCUUCGGAGUAAAUGGAAUGGACCUUUUGUGGUGAAAAAUGUGGCGGAUCAUGGAUCUAUUGAAAUCAAGGACACGAAAGGCAGUGAACCAUUCAAGGUAAAUGGACAAAGACUCAAACCUUAUAUUCGAAUGGUAAAUGGUGAAACAACAUUCGUUGAGAAAACAACGCUCAAGGCAACACAAUAUUUAGAAACAACUUAGUCGAGGUAAACCGUCCGGCUGAAGACAUAAAACUUACCGCUUUUCGGGAGGCAACCCGUGGUUUGGUGUGUUUUUACUUCUAUUCUUCUUUUGGUGUGUUUUAAUUCUUUUCGUAUCGAGGACAAUCCAAGGUUUAAAGUUGGGGAGGGGGUAUUUAAUUUUUGUUUAAAAUUAAAUAAUAUUCGAAAAAUACUCAAAAAACAGCAAAAAAAAAUAGCCUCAGGCAUCCUAGGGGUGUCUUAGACGUUGUCUAAGACGCCGUCGGGCUGUCACUUCUUUUCCCCCCGAUGAAAACCCUUCGCGAAAAUUAAAAAAAUACCCUUAAUGUGUAUGACGUCCUAGGACGCGUCUAAGACGCCGGCUAGGACGUCGACGUGUUUUUCAACCGUUUUAUGCCGUUUUCUGCAUUAUUGUUGGUAUCUUUCUUCUCCAAACUGCCAUAGCCGAAAACCCACUUGUUCUUGCUUAUUUCCUUUGAUUUCUUGGCCAAAACUCAACCAAAAUUCGUGGUUUUUGUUGCAAUCUUCAAGAAAUCAAGUAAGAAACAUCACAUUGCAAGAUUUACACACUCUAAUCACUUAUUUGGGGCCGAUUUCAAAACCCACAAAAACUAGGGUUUCGAAAUUUUGACUUAUUUUGAGAUUUUACUUCAAGUUCUUGGUUCUUCUUCACUAGAAACACAAUUUCAACAAGGUAUAUGCUUCAAAACUCCAUCUUUUAGUUGAAUUUCAGAAUUUUUGCAUGUAUGUUCAUAUAUGUUUGAAAUUUUGAAAAAGAUGAAGAAUAUGAUAUAUAUUGGUAUGAAUUCUUGUGAAUUAGUGUUUGUAGUUGUUAGAAGUAUGUUCCAAACAAGUUGCAUGUGUUGAUUCGAGAAAUUUCUAAAAAUUGAAUUUUUGUUGUUAGUUGUUAAAAAAUAAUAAUAAUAAAUAAAAGCACAUAUAAUGUUGGAAAAUCAUUCUUAUGUUUAUAUUUGUGUUUGAAUUAAAAAUUCAAGUUUUUAGAAAAUUUCAGAAUGACACUGAAUUUUGACAUUGCAUUGUUAGUCUGAAUAUUUGCCUGUUACAGUUCUGUUCUGGUUUUAGUUAGAACUUGUCAGUUGAAGUUAACUUUUGGUUUAACUGUGUUUUUACUGAUUGGAUAAAUUUUUGAAAAAUAUUUAGUUACUAAAAACAUAACAGGACUUAAAACGGUUAUUUAUUUAGACUGGAUUUAUUUUAACUUUGUUUGGAACAACUUGCCAACUGAAUUAUUUGUUUUAUUUUUGUGACAUUUGAUAUGUUUAAUGGCAAGUUUUGUUUUGUGGUUUUGUGUAUGAAUUAUUUUGCAGAUGCCAGCAAAGAGAUCAAGGGUAGCAUCAUCAAGCAGUGCAUCUAGACAACCAGCUAGACAGUCGGAGCCAAAUGUACAUGUGGCUUUCAACCCACAGUAUCAGACAUUGCAUGAGCAUCUAGAUGACAUUCGUCCAACAGUUUAUGAGGCAACUCAUCCGAAUAUGGGUUUUAUUGUAGAGUACAUGGUGGAGCGACCGAGCUUCACUAGGUAUAAUAUUGUGGAGACGUUUGAUCGCUAUGGAUGGGGUGGAGUGCUAGACUUCAAUCCCACGCAGAUUUAUGUUGAUAUAGUGCAGGAAUGGAUGAGGAAACUUCGACGUGUCGAGGUGCCUGGUAGGCCGGAGGAGUUGCCGCUGAUUGGGACGGUCCGUACUCAUGAUAUAGUGAUAACUGUGCAGGGUAUUCGGGACAUGUUUCAUGUAGAUACUGGCUGUCAUUUUCAUUAUCUUGAGAAUCAUCUGACUGAGUAUAGAUGUAUUGACACGAGGGGGUAACCCUGGGGUUAGUAUGACUGAAGUAUACCGUAUAGUGUUCCAUGAGGGGACGAGGGCAUACGACAGAUUCCGCGAAUUGGUGCCUUUAGCAAAGGCAUUACAUAACAUUAUCACGAAAAAUGUGAACCCAAGGAAUAGUGAUCCUAGGGCGGUGAGGCCACAUGACUUAUAUGUAUUAUAUGGAUUGAUGAUAGGAUCUAUCUUUAUCUCUUAUGCAUAUAAUGCUAUGUGCAACAUAUGGUCCUGUUUUGAUAUCCAGCACAGAGUCACUACCCCCCAUGUUGCCCUGAUAUCGACAUAUGUUGCCUUGCUACUUCUUUUAGACACAUCUCAUUUCAUGUUGAAAAUGGGAGACAUAUUCUGAGGGAUUCUACCACAAAUCCGACAUACACGGCACCACUCGGAGUGGGGGAUGAGGAGCCAUUCGUUGGUGAUUUUUAGGGGGAUCAGUAGCAGCAAUAGGCAUAAGCAGCAGGUCGGGGAUAGAACAUGCAGGCAGCUUGGGAGGACUUUGUGGGGAGGCAGAACAUGCAUAACCAGGAGGUGCAGGCUUGGAUGGGGAGAACGGAUAUAUGGUUGAAGGGUGUCGAUACGACACUAGCUGAUAUUACUGAGCAGAUGCGACAGAUUGGCAUUACAUCUAGCAACACUUAUAGUGUUGCCACUCGUCAGUUGUACCAACAGGAGUACUAUGCAGAUGCUGCCUACACAUAGAGUCGUGUCCAGUAUGAACCGAUGGACAUUGAUCAACCACAGUAUCGAUACCGAGCUCCAGCUCCGUUCUUCUACCGAUCCGGGAAUCUGAGCAACUAUCCACCGCCAUCCGAGCAUGAGCAUUAUCAGCCACCACCAGCUACAGAGGACUCUACUCGCUUUGAGGAUUUAGUUGGAUCGAUCUUUGGGUAUCCUCCACCAUACCCACGUUAUCCUCCACAGUCGCCCCCACAUUGAACUUUGGUGAGAUCCUCUUUUGAUUUUUAUUUUUAUGGUUGUUUGAUGAAGACUUUUUUUAUUUUUAUUUUUAUUUUUCGUUUGCUUUUCAUGUCUUUAUUUGGGAUGAAUGUACUAUUAUUAAACUCAUUAUUAUUAUUACUCUCUCUUGGGUUGGUUCCAUUAAAUAUGUGAUGAGUUAGUAGCAUCUCUAUAUCUUGAACGUAACUCAUCAAAAUGGAAAAUGAUAGGAGUUUCGUAAAUUGAGUCAUAAUAUUUAUUUAAUAUUGAUUUUGUGGAUUGCUCAACCGAUUUGGGAAUAUUUAUAUUUAGUUAAAAAAUUGUUAUGUGAAAUACCCAAGUGUUUGAAAAAUGACGGUUUUUAGCUCGAGCCUACGAUCUUUCAAUUGAGGACCCAACCGAACAAUAUGUGUCAUCACGCUCUGAGUACUUGGUCUUACUUACUCUUGCGCCUUUGGGGUUGGGAGGGGACUAUUAUUGUUUUCACACAAUAAAAAAGCAUCAAAAGACAUUGAAGAACUUCCAAGUAUCUAUAUUCAAGCUCAAGUCAAAUACCAAAAUGAUCAAAUCCGAUGAAGCCAUCAAAGAACUUGAAGAAUGCAAAAUCAAGAUAAAUAUGAAGAAAAGUUCAAGUUGAAGACAUUGUGUGAAAUAAUGUGUGACCCCUCGAUAGCGGGAGCGUAUGGGUUGGUCCAUUAAGUGUUACCGACCGCGCUAACUAUGUUAGUGAACCUUGAAAAAAGGGACUUUGGCAAUGAGUUCAACUGAUUACUCAUGAGGGUGAUUAUUGGAAAGGGUUCAAAAAGUGGAGGGUUUCAAACAACAAAGUAAAAUAAGCAUAACAUGUGUUUUGAGUUUAAAAGUCUGGAUAAGAAAAUAAUAAUCCCCAUAAUCAAUAUAUUGUGCUAUUGGAAAUGUUGUGAUAAAAAGUACAGAAUUCAUGAUUCCAUUGAGUUUUUCUUAGGAUAAGAGAGUAAAGACUACGCUGAUUAUUUCAGGCCAAUCUCGGGACGAGUUUGGAAUAAAGUUGGGGAGGUUUGAUAAGUCCAUUUUAUGAAUGUACUAAAUUGUUAUAAAUCUGUUGAAUUGAUGUAUAAUUGUCCAAGAAUGGCACUACUUUGAUGAGUUGUUGAACUUCAUAUACAGGUCAAUAUAUUGUACUAAAAGUGGGCGGAACCUGCAAGUAAAACAGUGCUAAAGGAAUGAAGAAACGUUGCUGGGAAAACUGACCAUGCUUCAAUGUUUUGGUCAUAACUGAAGUUCCGCAGCUCUAAUUGACAUGAGUAAAGAAGUUCUGGAAACUAGACAAGAUUUUCUACAACUUUUGUGUUUUGUGUUUCUGCUAGUUAUGUCGUUUUGACCACCAAAACUUAAACGAAAGAUGAAGGAUGCCUCCAGGCGUCUAAGACAUCCCCUAGGACGUCCACAUCAAACGGUCAGCAUCUGGCCGUUAUUUCAAAGCAGAAAAGAAGGAAGAACCCCCGUCAGCGUCUUACAUGGCGUCAAAGAUGUCCCCUAGGACAUCUUGGCAUUUUGGGGAUGUCCCGUGUUGGAACGGUGUGUUUCGGAAAGUUUAGAAAACAAGGCAGGACGUCCUAGAACGUGUCUAAGACGUCUCCUAAUACGUUUGACGUUUUUGGCCAUUUUUUAGUGUAUUUCAAGGACGACAGAUGGCAUGCAAGGACGUACAAAGAACGCCUGGGCGUUAUACACGACAUCUAAGAUGUCUGCUAGGACGUCCAACAUCCCACAUCCCCCAAUUUCAUUAUUUUUUAUCUCACACUAUAAAUACGAGCCUAUGAAUUCGUUUUUAGGGUUACCACCUCCGAUUUUCAGAGUUUUUCAUGUGUUUUUGAGGCUUCUAAAACACUUGGAAACAUUUGAAAACACAAAUCCAUUCCAUUAAAAUCCGGAUUCAAAGCAAGACUCAAUUCAAUUCAUCAUCAAGCUAUAAGUGAAGAUCAUUUCAUUGGUUAAUCUUCAUCAAUUCUUUAUUUUCCAGAAUUAUUUCUUCUUCCCCAAGGUUUAUUUUUUCUAUAAUUUGAUAAUCAUUAGGCUACAUUUGUUUGAUGAUUCUACAUUUGUUUAUGAAUUCUAUUAUGCAUUUUAUUCAUUUCAAUCAAGUUAUUUGUUUUAUGAACUCAAUGGAAGGCUAAAUCAUUAGGGUUACUUCUGGGGAUGUUUAGGACUUUUUGAUGAACAUAAUUGAUUAUUACUUGAUUUUAGUUAAUUCAAUUGUUGUUUUAUGCUUCAUGUGAUGAUCUUUUAGUAAUGAUAAUUGAAAUUGGGUUGUAUGAAUUGUUUGAUGUCAUAAUUAAGAUAGUCUAUUGUCAAUUCAUCAUUUGUUCCAAGUUCACUUAGUUUAGGAAUAAAGACAAGUGACUGAAUCAACAUAUAUUAUUCCAACUUAUGAUAUUGAAUCUUAAUGCGGUAAUAGGUAGUUGUAUGAUAUUUUAUAGCUAGUCCACUAAUUGUUCUUAAUCCAUUUAGGCAUAAAGGAGUAAGACAACUAGUUAAAUGAAAAUUUAGUGUGCCCAAACUAUGUAUUACAAGUUAAUAAACCCCAAUUGUAUCUAAGUAAUUGAAUUAGGAUUUAAGGGAAGAAAGUGUGUGAAUUUAAACUAUCCAUAACUGAACCGGAAGUACUCUAGUUUUCUCAUUGAAAUUUUCGUUUUAAUUAAUAAAUUUCCAAGCUUUUUGUUUGAUCUUUGCUUUAAUUUUUUUUCGUGACAAUUUCUAGUAGUUUGUUUUUUUUCGUUGACUAUUUUAACACAAAAUUUGACGACAAACUCCUUGCGGAUUCGACCCUUACUUACCCUAGCUAUCUAGUGGUUUUGAGAUUAUUCUUGACUGAUACAACGACAUUGAUCAUCGUGCCAAAACCCUAAAGAGACCGAUGUGCCUGGGGCCCAAUUUGCUCUUCUUCCUGAAUCGGAUGACACCUUUCCAAUGUGACAAGUUCAGGGGGACCAUAUCCCUAACCUGAAACUCUAAAUCUGAUUGGUGCUUGUCGGCAUAGCUCUUCUUCCGGCUCUAAGCUGUCUGGAGCCUACUCCAAACUGCUGAAUCAACUUGGUAGUCUUGAGUACCGCUUUGGUACUCCCCAUUAGUAGCUGACCGUCCUCACCCCAACAUAUCAUGGUACUGCAUUUCUUUCUAUAGAGCAUCUCAAAAGGAGGUCGAUUAAUGUUGGCGUGAUUACUAUUGUUAUACAAAAACUAUUGGAUUAGGUGUCUAAGACCAUAACUAUUUUGGUAUGUACUUGACCCGAUUGUGAGCAUGGUCCUUUUGGGUUGCCUUCACCAUAGCAACUGAUGGGAUGAAUUAAGGAGAAAAAGGAUUAAUUAUGAUUUAUUAAUAUAUUAUAUGAAUAAUAUAUUAAAAGAGAAAUCAUAUUGUUUAAUUAAUAUUAGUCAAUAAUUCAUUUUGUGGCUAAAAGAGAUUAAUUAAAUAAAGGGGACUGAUAUUGCAAUUAUAUGAUAGUUGCAAAUUGGGCUAUGGAUUCCUAAUGGAAAUCGGAUUGGACAAAAUCUAUGGGAAGCCCAUAUGGAUUUCGUCCAAGGGCUUUCCAAGGGAACUCCAUGGGUUGCUUAAGGCGUAAGCAGUGAGAUUAGGGUUUCCUGAUUCAAAACCCUAAUAGCCUAAGUAUAAAAGGAACCCUUGGCAAGCCAAAAACGUCCCUAACCUUAUAAGAGAAACCCUAGGACGUUUUUGGUGCCUCCUCCCUCUCUCCUUGUUCAUCUUGUUACAUAUGGUGUUUGUGACUCCAUUAGAGGUGCAACAUUUGAGGCACUAGGCUUUCAGAAGUCAAUUACAAGAAGGAUUCGGAUUGUUAUUGCAACAUAACAAUCAAGGUAAGAUCUAAAAUCUAUCCUUUUGUCAAUUUUGAUUAUUGUAUACUAGAGUUAGGGUUUAUGAGCUUUGGAUGAUUAUUACGUAUAUCAGACAAACUAGAUCCAAAGCUUUAGGGUUUGCAUGUACACCAUAGGAUUGACGUAGUGCUCAAAACCCAUCAAAAACUACGCCAAAGGGAUAUAUGUAUCCCAACUCCCACCAAAAUCCAGAACACACGCCCGAAGCAUAUCCUCCAAGGUAUGAAUAGUCCUCUCGCUCUGACCAUCAGUAUGUGGGUGGAAAGUCGUACUGAAAUGCAGAUGAGUACCCAGCUCGUCGUGGAACCUCUUCCAAAAUCUGGAAGUAAACCGGACGUUCCUGUCUAAAACCACAAAACGGGCACACCAUGAAGUGCCACUACCUCCCUGAUGUAUACCUCAGCUAACUUCUCUGAGGAGAUACUAUCUUGAGUCGGAAUAAAAUGUGUGAACUUGGUCAAUCAAUCCACGAUGACCCAAAUCGAAUCCACUCUAUGUUCACUCUAAGGCAACAUCGUAAUGAAAUCCAUGGUAAUCUCCUCCCAUUUUCAAACAGUGAUAUCUAACGGUUACAUCUUGUCGUGAGGCCACUGAUGCUCGGCCUUGACUUUCCUUCAAGUCAAGCAUCUCUCCACGUACCAAGCUACAUCCCGCUUCAUACAGGGCCACCAAUAAUCAGGAUGAAGAUCAAUAUACAUCUUCGUCGUGGUGGGAUGAAUGGAGAAUCUCAAUUUGUGUGCCUCCUCCAUCAGAACUUGACGCACACCAGCCCAAUCGGAACCCACACUCUUCGAUGGAGAUUCAAUAACCCUUGGUUUUCAUAAUAAAAGGAAGCCACCUGACUCACUGUGCGCUCACUCUUCCCAUCACAACCUCAACCUGAGCCUCUCAAAUCUACUCUAAAAGUGGAGUGAUCACAGUCAUCCUGAAACAAAUAUCCUUGAACGGAGCCGCGAUCGCCUUGCUGCUAAGAGCAUCGGCCACCACAUUAUCCUUCCCCGUAUGGUAAAGGAUCUCACAAUCAUAAUCCUUCACCACAUCCAACCAUUGGCACUGCCUCAUGUUCAUAUUUGGCUGAUCCAUCAGAUACCUCAAGCUCUUGUGAUAUGUCUAUAUAGUACAGCGGGCCCCAUAGAGGUAAUGUCAUCAAAUCUUGAGGGCAAAAACCAUAGCCCCAACUCUAAAUCAUGCAUCGGAUAAUUCGUCUCAUGAUGCUUCACUUACCUUGAAGCGUAAGCGAUCACGUGACCCCUCUGCAUCAGAACUACACCUAAACCUGUGAUCGACGCAUCAUAAUAAACCAUGAAAUCUUCAACACCCUCCGGCAGGGUCAAAAUAGAUGCCUCACACAAUCUUUAUCUUAGGGUCUCAAAAGUUGCAUGUUGGUCGGGCGCCCAGCGAAAAGUGACAAUCUUCUUCGUCAACCGAUUUAGAGGAACCGCUAUCUUGGAGAAAUCCUAAAUGAACCUCCGAUAAUAGCCUUCCAACUAAGGAAACUCCAAAUCUUAGAUGGAGACCUCGGUACCUCCCACCUCAUCACGGCCUCGACCUUGGCCGGAUCGACCAGAAUACUGUUUUGGUUGACAAGGUGCCCUUGAAACUGCACCUCGUGCAACUAGAACUCGCACUUGGAGAACUUUGCAAAAAGUCUCUCCCUCCUCAAAGUUUCCAAUACCUCCCUGAAGUGCUCCUCAUGUAGCUCCUGGGUCUUGGAAUAGACCAGGAUAUCAUCAAUGAAUAGGGCAUUUUGUAUAAUCAAUUGUUGAUGUUAUUGAAAAUAAUGAUGUUAUUGAAACAUAUGCAUGGCAUGUAUUCCCAAUAAUUAUAUUUAAUUAAUUGGUUGUUGUGCAUGUUAUUAUAUUGGGAACAAAUUAGAAAGUGGUCCAUGUGGUAGUACAUGAUAUGUAUGGGGACCAUUUGUAGUUAAUAGUCAAUGGGUAUUUUUAUAAUGGAAAAAUGGGACCUUUGAACCCAUUAUAGAACCAUAUCCAUGACUAUAUAACAAAUUCACAUGCAUGCACAUUAUUCCAAAUUUUUCCAUGCAUAAAUAUUCAAACCCAUUGGUCAUGAGUUUACUUAAAAAGGCAACAUACUUUCAUAAGUGAGUAAAAUAUCAUUUCAUGUCAACAAUUUACUUACAAAGGCAACAUACAUUCAUUAGUGACCAAAAUACCCUUUUAUGUCAUGAGUUAACUUAAAAAAGCAUCACGCAUACAUAAAUGACUAAAAUACCCUUUUAUGUCAUGAGUGAACUUAAAAAGGCACCAUGCAUACAUAAAUGACCAAAAUACCCUUUUAUGUUAUGAGUGAACUUAAAAUGGCACCAUGCAUACAUAAAUGACCAAAAUACCCUUUUAUGUCAUGAGUUAACUUAAAAAGCCACCAUGCAUACAUAAAUGAUCACAUCACAUGUAUUCAAAUACACAUACUUUAAAUCCAAAUUACCAUCAUCCUAAUACACAAACUUAAAAUCCAAAUUACCAUCAUCCUAACACACAUACUUUAAAUCUAAAUAACACAAAGGAAAAAUCAACACUAAUAAAUUAGAAGAGCUUUUCCCUUAGAAUUUCCUGGAUCAUCAACACCACCAACUUUCUUGCCUAAUUUCAACUUGAAGAUUCUCUUUGACUUUCUUCUCCUUAUCCUGUUCAAAAUCUUGGAAAUUGGUCUAACCCUUACCUGUUGAACCUAGAUAAUAGGAGUAACCUCCUAAAUUUGAACAUUAUCAACAACUUGGACAUUAGGAAUAACCUCAUCAUCUUGAACAUUACCACCCUCCUCAACUUCCUCACCCAUAACACCCCCAUCACCUUCAUAACUUCUAGGUGGAAUAACUUGCAUAGACUGACUAAAAUCCCUUGCACUACUGGAUUCAACAUGAGUAGAAGUAACUUGCAUAUCAUUUUGAGUAUUAUCCAUCUCAAUUGGAGUCAUUUAACCUCUUCUUGUUGUUGUGGUUCACUUGUACUACCCUAUAUGGCAUGAUAUAAUUAUGUUAGUGGCAAAUCAUAUGUAAAUAAAUUUAAAUUUUAAAUGGUUUUACCUGUUCUGCAUUUUUCUUCACAUAAACUUUUUGUUUCUUCUGUUUCUUUACAUUUAACUUUUGGGGCCUUCUCUAUGGACAAGUGGCCUUACUGUGACACAUCUCCUUGCAUAUAAUACAUCUAAUUUUCUUUCCAUCCUUAGAAACCCUGUGUGUUCCUGUAUUCUUUGUAGUGGAUUUCUUCUUCUUAGUAGCUGGCCUACCAUGCAUCCGUCUACUAAUAAGAGGCAAUGGUGGAGUAUAAUUUGUCUCUGGCCACAUGUCACUGCCAUUCAUGGGGGAAAUUCUGUAAUUGUAUGCCUUCCGAAUUGUGGUGGUGUUAAACAUGUUGUCUACAUAGGCUUCUACAUCUCUAUUAAGAUUGGAUAUGGUAGCUACAGAAUGAGCAUAUCCAUAUCCAUUUAACCGCCACAACCUACAUGAACAUGUUUUCCUUUAUAAGUCCACCUCAUAUGCAUCUGUUUCUCCCUUACCUCGAACUGGUUUAAUCCACUAGGUAGUACCUGAUAAUGCCUCUGAAUUUUUUAAGCAAAUUCACCUUAUCCCUUAUCUCUGGACAAAUAUUAUUUCCCCAUUGUUGUCCCUUUAAUUUCAUGUUGUACAUUUUGUCCAUCAUGUAUAAUCUUAACUCCUCUAACAUGGUUAUUAUGGGCUUCUUCCUGGUAUCCACUAUUACAACAUUAAAACUUUCAGAGAAAUCAUUUUCAACUGCAUCACAACACCUUCCAGCUUGAAAGUAAGCUCUUGACCAUGUUUUAAGAUCUUUCUCCAUGAGAUAUUGAUGGGCAUCUGGGUUUAAUGUCUCAAUUUCCUUCAUCACAACUUUAAAAGCAUGCUCAUUUGUGGUUUUAGAUGCUCUCCAAAACAAGGUAUGAUAUAUGACACCAGUGAAUCUCUUCUGCAAAUUUUGAAAAAUAUGUCUAGCACACUGCCUGUGCAUAUGGAAGAAACUCUUUAACAGCCUCUAUCAAACCUUGUAUUAAUAAAAAGGUUUAAAUCAGAUAGUAUAAAAUAAAUAUAAAUGAAUUACUAUGUAAAAUACUAACCUUAUGUUGGUCUGACAUUAAACUGAAGCAAUUGCCUAAACUUAAGUUUAGAUUAUUAAUGAGAAGCUCUAAAAACCACUUUUAAUUCUACUUGUUCUCCACACUAACCAUUGCCCAAUCAAUAGGAUAUAUCUUGUUAUUUACAUCCCUCCCAAUAACACAAAGCAAUCCCCCCUUACAAACACCUUUAAGAAAACAUCCAUCAAGACCCAUUAUCCUUCUACACCCUUUAAUCCAACCUUGUUUAAUUCCUUGAAAACAAACAUAGAACUUGCUAGAAUAUUUCUUUCCAUCUGGACCAUCCUCCACAUCUAGUUUCACAGUUGACCUAGGAUUUGUCCUUAAAAUCUCAUCAACAUAUUACCAUAGCUUACCAUAAUGUUCAACAAGGCUACCUUCAACAAGAUUUAAUGCAUACUUCUUUGUUCUCCUACAUUAGCCCAUACUAACUUGGAUACUAAACUUGGUCAUUACCUUUACCCUAAGCUUCCUUACACUCAUUUUAUGACUUUGUACAAUCUCUUUGGUAUAGUGACUCCCAAUCCAUGCAUAUGUCACCAAUAAUCCAAACUUGAAGUUCCUAGCACAAUUAUGAUAAGCUUUUUGUGACUUGAUUUGGAAAGUCUCUCCAUCAUUCAUCCAAGAAGCCCAUAAUAUAAAUGUGCAAGCACCCUUGCUACAUCUCACCAAAAGUCUUUUCCUAUCAUAUUUUUUCAAAACACAAUUGAUAUCCAUUAGCCACAACAUAGUUGCACAACCUUGACUUUACUUGCCCUGGACCCUUAGAUCUCAUUCCUAGAAUUGGUUUUUGUUUUUUCCAGUGUAAUAGCUCAUUAAAUAUGGAAAUAGUUUGGAUGUUAGGUUCAACUUCUCUCCCAUUAUCAUCAUCUACAAUGUUGUUAUCCUCCUCAUCAUCAACACACAACUUACUCACGAAAGGAUCAUUUGAUGUCCUAUUCAUAUGCACUGCAUCCUUAUUAAAUUCAAAGACAACAUUCCUAAGUUCAUCUAUGUUAUCUUCAUCUAUGUUAGCGGCGCAGCUUUUUGCCCGUUUGCCUUCAAUCGAUAUGUAUUGAACAAAAAUGUUUGAAUGUCUAUCAAUACAAGGCUCAUGUUCAUCAUCAAACCACCCACCAACACCAACCCCAAUAUGAUCCACAUAAACCGAAAUUACACCAUCUGUUCCAUCAACAUCAAAAAUAAAAGCAGCAUAGUCCACAUCAUCUGAAAAUGGGAUUAAGCUCUUCCAUCAGGGAAUUGCCUGGUUUACAGUAGUAAAACUUUUUACACUCUUCAUGCAUGAAAUGUUCACAGAAGGUCACAAGCUCAGAAUAAGUCAUAGAAGAAAAGUCGACAUCAGUGAACAUGGUUUUCACACCACCAGUGUAAGAGAAAGGAUUUCGAUUAAAUACCCCUUGGUAGUUGAGUUCCACCAUCACAAACACUCCAUUAGGUUCCGAUUGUGCCAUUUUUGCGACUUCUUUGGCUCUUCAGCUCGAUCACAAAAAUGCUUCACAAAACCUAAAUCAAUUUCUUUUAAAACUAAAUAAUGAAGACGAGUGAAGUUCGAUAGCUGAAGACAAAAGGCUUAAAGCUUCGUAUAUCAUCUAUUGAUGUGGCAUAUCUCACAUGGCAUCAGAUUAGCUAAAAAAGAUAUAUUAAUUGACAUAUAUAAAAUGUCAACCAGGAAACCGUUUACAAGUAUGGAAAUGACUAAAUUAAUAAGUCAGAUACCAUUUUAAUGGUCUAAUGUACCCAAAAAACUUUAAUGACCAAAUUAGCCAAAUGUAAAAAGUUUCAUGUGCUACAGUGACAUUAUCCCUGAUGGGUUUUGAGCAUUCUAACACUCCUAUGGUGUACAUGCAACCCUAGAAACCUUGGAUCUAUGUUUGACUAAUAUACAUGCAAAUAAUUAUUUUCCAAGGUUCUUAUCCUAUCUAGCAUGGCAUGGGAACUUGAAUCAAAUAGAGCUAGUAGAAUUACUUACCUUGUAGUUGUUUAAAGCUUCGUAUAUCAUCUAUUGAUGUGGCAUAUCUCACGUGGCAUCGGAUUAGCUAAAAAAUAUAUAUUAAUUGACAUAUAUAAAAUGUCAACCAGGAAACCGUUUACAAGUAUGGAAAAUGACUAAAUUAAUAAGUCACAUACUAGUUUAAUGGUCUAAUGUACCAAAAAAACUUUAAUGACCAAAUUAGCCAAAUGUAAAAAGUUUCAUGUGCUACAGUGACAAUAUCCCUGAUGGGUUUUGAGCAUUCUAACACUCCUAUGGUGUACAUGCAACCCUAGAAACCUUGGAUCUAUGUUUGACUAAGAUACAUGCAAAUAAUUAUUUUUCCAAGGAUCUUAUCCUAUCUAGCAUGGCAUGGGGAACUUGAAUCAAAUAGAGCUAGUAGAAUUACUUACCUUGUAGUUGUAGUUGAUUGCUUGGAGUUUUAGAGCCUAGCACCAAUAGUGUGGAUGCCUCAAAUGUAAAUCACAAAUCACUACAAACUUGGAACUUUGAGAGAAUAGUAACCACCUUUCUUGAAAUCGGCCCUCUUACUUUACUCACCACAACUAGUAUGAUUUCAAGAACCAAAGCCUCCUUUAUAUAGUGUGGUGGAUUAGGGUUACAUCCAUGUAAACCCUAAUACCCAUGUCUUUUCAUUUCCAUGAGAUCCAUGGGUUAAAGCUCCAUGGAGUAUCCAUGGACUUUCCAAGCAAGCCUAGCCCAUUCCAAAUAAGCAUUAGCCCACACUAUAUAAAUAUAAGAGCCCAUAUUUAAUUAGUAAUACUUUUGAUCUCUAAAUUAAUUUUAGAUUAAUUAUAGAUCAAUACUAAUUAAAUAAUAUGGUUUUAUAUUAAUAUAUUAGAACUUAUAAUAUAUUAAUAAAUCAUAACUUAUACUAUUCUCAAAAGAUUAUCCAUAAAUUGUUCGGGUGAAGUGCAACCCAAAUGGACCAUGACGGGUCGGGUCAAGUACAUACCAAAUAUAGUUAUGGACUUAGACACUAUAUCCAACAAUCCCUACAUAAAGUCAUAUGUAGUCAAGGAUCAGAUAGAUAAUCGAACAUAUGACUCACCUAAGAGCGAACAAUCAGAAAAGAACAUCACAAUCAAGCCUUAGAUCAAGAGUUAUCAGUCUAUCCAACUUAAACUAGAUAGACCUAAGAUAUUAUUACCACCUAACCAUGUGACAUAAACAUUUAACAGAUACUAGCAUAUUUAUACACUUAGCAACUAUCCUUCCCUAGUUACCCUGUCAUUGAUCACUUCUCAAUCAAGUGAUCAUCUGGUCAGUCAUGCAUAAUCAUGAUAAUUGACCUACCCCAAUUUCCCUAACUAAACAUAACUCAUAACAAUAUCAUACAAUAAAUAGGAAAGACCUCACAAGAAUAGCAUACCCAGACACCAAGUGUUCUAAACUGCACAUGCAUAUCCUAGCCAACUAGCAUAUUUGUACUCUAACAGUAUCUCCAUCCUAUCAUGCACAGGAUAUAUAAUGAGAUAUGUGGCAUACUAUGAAACUCACCUGAACUGAAGAACCGGAGAAGCACAACAACACUCUUACACAUUUCACUACUCGAUCAUGUGAACCAAUUAACACCAAAAUAGAUAAAUCCUCAAUCAAUAAUCCAAAUCCUCCAAGUUUGACCCUAAGUCAAACUGGUCAAAAGUCAAUAGUCGAUGUAACGCCCAUGUUUCUUUCCAGACAUUAACUAAAUAAUUAGGGUCAACAAUCACCACAACGUGGUAACCUCUUGGCCACAUCCUGGGAAUUUCCAUACAAAAUAGUUACGAAGCUUAGGAUCACCAUGUCGUUGCAAGCCUAUUGCCACGUCGUGGAAAUUCACAGGAAGUCAUAUUCUUCAUUAUGAGCUUAAUGCUUACAGAUCUAAGCUCAAACUUUCAUAUUUGAUUCUUCUUGAUGAAUUAAUGGAUCUUAAACCAUAAGUCUAUUAAGUCUUUAAUAUGACCAAAACUAGAGCAUGGAGAAAAGGGAGCUAUGAAUUAACGCUUUUUCCAUCAAACAAGACCAAAAGAUGGUCACCAAACAAUUCUAAAGUUCUGGAGUUGGCCAAAACUCCAAGAAAAUGCCUUCAAGGGACUUCAAAGCAUGAUAUGAGAGAAAAGGAUGAUAAAGGUGGAAGCUUUAUACCUUCCCAAAAUCCACAAGACAUAGGAGAUGCAAGAUCUGAAGUAGAUACACCAUUCAAACUAGCAAACACACUGUCGUUUCCUUCCCAAAGUGCAACCCAAGGCUUCAAACUUCAAGAACUCCAAGAACUCAUCAAUAUCACUCAAAUAGGGCUAGGGUUUCGAAAUAGGAGGAUGGAGACUGAGGGAAAUGAGCUAACCCUAGAGUUAAGGCCAUUAAAUAUGGGAGAAAAUAUAAAAAAAAAAAUUAUGUGCUUGGGCUACAGCACUCACAACGUCGUGGCAACCCUCUAGUCAUGUCGUGGUGCUCUUCAAAAUGUGCGUUCCCGAAAAUAUGUGUCACGUCGUGGUCAUCCAUGCACCAUACCAAGGCAUAGAUUUUUCUCCUAAAACCCCAUCUUUGAUCCUAUUAGCUCUUUAGUUAAACUAUUAUAGAAAAUAGGUGUUAUAGCCACCAUUCCGAGUUCCUUCUGUGACUGCUAAAUUAGUGUUUGGCGGGUUGGGGAGCCCGACUUCUUUCUCUUAUAUCUUCACAUAUAUAUAUAUAUAUAUAUAUAUAUAUAUAUAUAUAACAUUUUUUUUUCAAAAGUGUAAUACUAUCAAGGGAAAUUGACUUAUCAGGGUAAUUACUGUUUUGUUUUGUUCACAUCGGGGUAACUCUUUUUUUAGUACACAUCUAGGUAACAAACUUUUUGUAAGUGUUCACAUGUGACCAUUAUAAUUGGUUGUAGCAAGUUACAACCGAACGUAAUUGUCAUAUAUGAACACUUCCAACAAGCUCGUUACCUCGAUGCAUACAAAAAAAUGAAGUUACACAUAUGUGAACAAAACGAAAAGGUAAUUACCCUGAUAAGCCAAUUUCCCUUUUUAUUAAGGUGGCAAAUCAUAAUGUUUGUAAUAUUAAUAUAUUCAUUUAAAUUUCUUUAAAACAACAUUUGUAACACCCGGAAUCUAGAAGAUUAAUUAUGGAAACAAAUUCCCUUACCUAAGUAAAAACACGAUGAGUUGAUGGUGGGAAACUCGAUGUGUUGGAGGUUUUUGGGACACACGUUUUUAUGAACCAACUCGGUGAGUUGGUGAAGGAAAAUCGGCGAGUUGGACACUGACUGAGAAACCCUAAUUUUUAGGGUGUUACACCCUAUUUAAAGACCUUAAGUUCUUUAGCUGGCCUCCUUACCGGCCUCCUCUAUCCAGAAACCCUAAAACUGAGCCUUGUCUUCCAUUUAUGAGUGUGAAAGCUUGGGGAGAGCCUUGAGAGUUCAUUUUUGGUGCUUUUUGAAGGAGCUAAGGAAUUAGGAGUUGCUUGGCUUGAAGAAGAAGUCUUGGAUCCAGAAUCUCUGCCUCAUUUGCCAAGUUUUUGAGGAAUCGUGUUCUUACCUUGCUUAUUUGUUGCUUAGAUCUCUUCUUGGGUUAGAGUUUAUGAUUUUUAGCCAUUUUGGGUGAAUGUUGGGGAUUAGGAGGUCCCAAGCAAUUAUUAUUUCAGAUAUAAGGGCUAGCGGCGCUGCUUGUUGCCCGUUCGCCUUCAAUCGAUAUGUAUUGAACUUUCAUUGGAGUAUAUUUUCUUAAUAUAAAUAUAUAAUAGAUAUAAGGUCUACAUGAGCUCUUUAGGCAUAAAGGUGCCAACUUUAUGGAUUUAAUGGCUUCAUGUAUUCAUUAAGUCUUUCAGUUAGCCCUUUUUGAGCUUUUGAUCACCUCCUAGUCAUGCUUAAGUGUAAAGUUGGAAACUUUACACGGCCAUCUAGCCUUAUGGGGACAGAUCUGCAUUAUGGGUUUUAUCUUUGAUGAUUAAGUGAUUAAUGAUUAAGCCUUCACUCUUUUAAGUUUAGGGUUUGGGUUUGGACCCAUUAGGUGAUUCCUAGGGGUAAAGUUGGAAAAUUUACCCUUCUUGAUCUCAUUUUGGUCGAGAGCAGAGCUUUGGAGCCUUUGGACUCGAUGAAGGUACCUUAAUGCAUUAAGAUGUUGGUUCUUGAGAGAACUCGGCGAGUUGACUUGGUUUCCCCGAUUUGUGUAGUUGAUGGAGAAACUCGACGAGUUGGGUUAACUUGGACCGUUGACUUUGACUUUCGAUUUAUGUCUUUGAACAAGUUUGUCCCAAUGGGUACUUGAGGUAAUCUGAAUUGUAAUUAAGGGAAUUAUGAGAUUAGGAUAAGGCCCAUAUGGGGUUGGUCCCAAUUUGGAAAAUUGGGCCAUUACUGGGCCUUUGCGGAUCUUUUGGUUUUGGACUUUUUGGUUAAUGGAAUUUGGGCCUCAGUUUUGGUUCAUGACGCGUUAGGGUUAAAAUGGUCAUUUUCCCCCAAGUAUGGAUGGAGGGCUUUAGAAUGGAACCCAAUUGCUAAUUAGGUGUUAUUUUGAUCUCAUAGCUCGGAGGUCUCAUCAGGGCAGCAGCUAGGGACUUCUUUCUGUGAGUUUCUGCGUUCGAGGUGAGUCUCCUUACUUUUCUAUGGUUUGAAGGCAAUAAUGACGGCCCAUUUGGUUUAUGUAUUAUAGGAAGACCUGGGGGAUAAACCUUGGCAGUUUGUAUGAAAGACCAGGAGGCGGCUCCUGGCAAACUGUAUGCAAGACCAGGGUCUGAACUCUAGCAGUUGACUAGUUAAGUAGUGUAGAUUUUAUACUAUUUGUCUUUGUGACACUUUCAUGGAAGACUCGAAGGUGGAUCCUGGCACUUGUCUGUAAGACCUAGGUUUUUGGCCCCCGGCCUGACAAGGAAGACCACAAGGCGGCUCAUGUCAUAAUGGCAAGACUAUGGAUGGCACAUAUCACCUUUACUAAUUGGGGUAUAUGUAUGCUAAGUAAGACUCAGUGAUAUUAAUGUUAUUUAUAGUUUUGAGUUGAGUUUUCUCCUGCGAUUGAGGUGCAACAGUUGGUGCGAGAGUUUCUGGAUCUCUGUCAGACUACUGAGACUGUGGCAGAUUGUGGAAGGGUGGAAGUGAUGUAAGACUGAGGGGUGGCCCGUAGCAUUCACUAGUUAGAAGUUGGUAUAAAAAUGUUGUAAGACUGUGGGGUGGCACGUAGCAUUCACUAGCGAUCAGAUAGUGUGGGAAGUGUUGUAAGACAGAGGGGUGGCCCGUAGCAUUCACCAGUCCCUAUACAGCGGUGAGAGUGUGGCAAAUUUGUGAUUUGCUCACGGUUUUCUUCGGAUGAUUUUGGCCAGGAUGGAUCAGUUCGCAAGGCUAUGGGAAGGACACAACAUGUUUGGAAUCAAGAUAUGGGAGGUCGUGGGAGACCGGGUUUGAGGUAAGACUAUAGUUGGUCUGUAACGUUCAACCUAGUAUCAGAUUAUUGACGAGACGGUUUGGGUAGUUAUUGCCAGUGAGGCUUUUUUUCAAAAGUUGCGAUGGGCGAUUGUGUGGAGUUUCAAAAGCAGCUACGAGGCAACAAGCUGUUUUGGGCAGUAUUAGUGAUUUUUGGGCAGUAUUUUCGGGUAGUACUAGUCAUUUGGAAUUUGUGUGUGAAUAUGUAAUUUUUCAAACAAUUUUUUUUUCAUUUAUAAAACUCAUAAAAACUCAUAUAUUUCAUUUCAUAAAAUCACAAGUGUCUCAAGUCAACAUAAAUCCACAAGAAAAAUCAAAUCCUAGAAUCCUCAACAUAAUCUCGAACAGGUGUGUACAAUCACGUCGGUGCCUUCCCGCGAUCCUCGGAGGUACUUGAAACACAUAUCACAUAGCACGGUAAGCAUAAAGCUUAGUGAGUUCCUCAAAAUACCAUGCACACACAUAAUUAGCCACUCGAGGCUAUCGCUCUGUAAGACCCUCCGGUUAAUGUGUCUUAGCGAGACCCACCAGUCCUACAAAUCGUCAGACCCUCCGGUCCGGUCUAAGUGAGAACCCUCCGGUCUCACUACUCGUUGGACCCUCCGGUCUAGUCUAAGUGAGGACCCUCCGGUCUCAUAGUUCGUUGGACCCUCCGGUCCGGUCUAAGUAUCUCAUAAUAUAGUACACAGUAUAUAUCACACAGAAAUACAUAACUCAAGCAAGCACAUAAGACCCUCUGGUCACACAUAAUGACCACACUAGGUAAGGUAUAAUGAGAAGACUCACCUCCUAAGAACUCGGAUAAUCUCAAACUCAAAUCACAGGUUUAGCCUCCGCCUAAUAUACACAAUAAUUAUCCCUAAUUAAUAACGGCUCUCACAAGGCUGAACUAACCCUUCCAUACACUCACAGAAGGGUAAAAGACCAUUUUACUCCUCCAUGGGCUUAAUAGACCACAUGUUGACCAAACCCUAAAAGUCAACCGAAAGCCAACAGCAAGGAGUACGCUGUGCGUACCAACUCCCUACGUUGGGCAUACUCGGCUGCCAUGCAGGCAUCGUGGAGACUCGACCUCUACGUUGUGCGUACUGGGAUUAUGCCCAGCGUACAUCCUAGUUUCACUCUCCUCACAAUUUUGGUCUUAAACAGUUAAUACAUUGGCUCAUAAUUCAGAUCUGGACUCCCUAAUGUCUCUUAAUCCAUAAAGUUGGUGACUUUAAGCCUUUGCGUGGCUAAAUAGGUCACAAACACUGAAAACUCCCAUCCCCUUUCCUCAUGAAACUCAUAACUCAUGCAUGGCUUACUCCUAAUGUCCAAGAUUAGAUUUUUAUGACUUUACUCCACAAAAUACACUGAAAAGGGAUAGAUCAAGGCCUCUAGAGUGCAUUAUCUCAUAAAGUCUCCAUCUUUUGGGAAAAAACCCUAAAGUAAUUCAUAUGAAUGCACCAAACAAACAAAUGAGAAAGCUUGAAGAUUUAUACCUUUAUGUGAAACCUUCUUCACAGCUAAGCUCAGAUCCAACUCCUGGGGCUCUCACUCCUUCUUCUCUAAAGCUUCCUCUCUACUUCAAGAACACAAGAUUACACCAACAAGCUCUCAAAUGCACUCUCCAGCUAUAAUGACGGAGAUUUAGGGUUAGGAGGGGUUGGUGUUUGGGAAUGGUGGCCAGGAAUGAGGCCAUCAUGUCCUUUAAAUAGUGAGCUCAUUAAAAUUUAGGGUUUCAUUAUGGGCCUAGCAUGCCCAGCGUACCCACUGGUACGUCGCGCGUACUAGGUGGCCUCCACAUCACUAACACGCAUUGGAGUAUGCUGAGCGUACACUCAAGUACGCCCCGAAUACUCGUUUACCACCUUUUCUCUAAUAAGGCCAAAAUGGACAAAUGCUCAAUAGAUCAAGGUUUACAAGGUAUACCUGGACUUGGGAUGUUACAUCGUGUGUGAGUCUCUUGUAGUUCGGGGAAUAUAAUAAGUUGCUUGUAGUGGAUUAAAUAAUCUCAGAGUGGUUGAUUUGAUUCUAUUGCGCAGUUCUCGUCUGAGUCUAACCAUUGCAGGGAUGAAUCUUCUACUCAAAGGAUUAUCUGAGCCUAUUGUCGAGUAUAAGUGUUCUGUAGCUGCAAAUGAUCUGUUUUUUGGUUCCUUUAAAAGCAUUAAGAUAUUGGUUUUAUAGUGGUUCAGAGAGGGGGAGGGGGUGAUCAGCCAGGAAGUCAAAUCAAAUUGAGAUUUCAGGUAUCAGGAAAGGUAAAGGUGGGUUUUUCUGCAAGGGAUUAAGGUUCGUUCUGCUAGGGUUGGUUUCAGUUGCUAUGGGAAGGUGGUAGUAUUAUGGGGUUGUGAAGAUGAGUCCUUAUGGGGACAGUGUUAUCUGGUGCUAUCUGUCAUGGAGUUCGGCAAUGUCCAGGGUUUUCCAGGUUCAAGUUUAAUGGUUAGGGAUCUUCUAUUUUGGAUUUGUCAUCGGUAUGGGUGGGCGGUUAUCUAAGCGGGGUGACUUCCUUAGUCUUUUGGGGUUCAAGGAGUUUAGUCAGGAUCAUCAGUUCGGUACACGAGAUUUUAGGGAAUGAUUUCGAGGAUGAAAUCUAAUUUAAGUGGGGGAGAGUUGUAACAUCUGGAAUUUACAAGAAUAAUUGUGGAAAUAAAUUCCCUUUCUAGGGACCAACACGGCGAGUUGAUCGUGGGAAACUCGACGUAUUGGAGGCUUUUGGGAUGAGCGUUUUUAUAAACCAAUUCAAUGAGUUGGUGAAGGGAACUCGGCGAGUUGGACGCUAAUCGAAAAACCCUAAUUUUUAGGUUGUUGUACCCUAUCUAAAGGCCUUAAGUUCUUUGGUUGGCCUCCUUACCAGCCUCCUCUGUCCAAAAACCCUAAAAUCGAGCCUUAUCUUCCAUUGUUGAGUGUGAAAGCUUGGGGAGAGCCUUGAGAGUUUAUUUUUGGUGCUAGUUGAAGGAGCUAAGGAAUUAGGAGUUCCUUUCCUUGAAGAAGAAAUCUUAGAUCCAGAAUCUCUGCCUCAUUUGCCAAGUUUUUGAGGUAUCAAGUUCUCACCUUGCCUGUUUGUUUCAUAGAUCUCUUCUUGGGUUAGAGUUAAUGCUUUUUAGCCAUGGUUGGGUGGAUUUUGGGGAUUAGGACAUCCCAAACGAUUAUUAUUUCAGAUCUAAGGUAUAUAUGAGCUCUUUUGGCAUAAAGGUGCCAACUUUAUUGAUUUAAGGGCUUCAUAGAGUCAUUAAUUCUUUCAUUUAGCCGUUUUUGAGAUUUUGUGCUCGUCCUAGUCAUGCUUAAGCGUAAAGUUGGAAACUUUACAUGGCCAUCUAGCCUUAUGGGUUCAGAUCUGCAUUAUGGGGUUUUGUCUUUGCUGAUUAAGUGCUUAAUGAUUAAGCUAUCACUCUUUUAAUUCUAAGGUUUGGGUUUGGACCCAUUUAGGUGGUUCCUAGGGGUAAAGUUGGAAACUUUAACCUUCGGGGUCUUAUUUUGGUCAAUAGCUGAGUUUGGAGCUCUUGGAUUCGAUGAAGGUAGCUUAACGCAUUAAGCUGUUGGACUUUUAGAGCUCAUAUCGUGAGUUCGAUCUUAUCCAUCCGCUGAAUCGACUUCUGACAGCCCGACUCUGGAACCCAUCCAUCACUGGCUCACGUCGUGAGCUUCAUGCUCACGUCAUGAGUCCUCUUAUAGUGUGGGGUUGAGUCUUUUACUCGAAGGAUUAUUUGAUCUUUGUUGCGUGUGGCUAUAUUAAUGAGGAAGCUAGUUGACAUUGGUGGGAUUCCUUUAGCAGUUGAGGGUUUGGUGAGGUCGGGAACCUAGGAAAGCCUAGGAUAUGCUUUAGUGGGUUAGUGGUACGGUUUAGUGAGUUUUGGUGCAUUGUGCUGAAGAAGUGACUUAGAGGAUUCGAGAGGAUUACUGAGGAAAGUAUGGAUAGGUGGGCUUUAGAAUGGAACCCAAUUGCUAGUUGGGUGUUAUUGUGAUCUGAUAGCUCGGAGGUGUCGUCAGGGCACUAAUGUCGGCCCAUUUGGUUUAUGUAUUAUAGGAAGACCCAGGGGAUAACCCUGGGCAGUUUGUAUGAAAGACCAGGAGGCGGCUCCUGGCAAACUGUAUGCAAAACCAGAAUCUGAACUGUGGUAGUUAACUAGUUAACUAGUGUAGAUUGUAUGCUAGUUGUCUUUGUGAUGCUUGCAUGGAAGACUCGGAGGUGGCUCAUGGCACUUUUUUGUAAGACCGCAGGUUUUGGCCCCCGCCCUGACAAGGAAGACCACGAGGCGGCUCGUGACAUAAUGGAAAGACUAUGGAUGACACAUAGCACCUUUACUGAUUGUAGUAUAUGUAUGCUAAGUAUGGCUUGUUGAUAUGAAUGUUAUUUAUGGUUCAAUCGGUAUGUUUGGUAUGUGGUAUUUGGGGAACUCAAGAAGCUAUGUGCUUACAUUUUGUGCUUUAUGGUUUCAUGUAAUUCCAUUUUGAAAGGAAAGGGUUCGGCUUAAUCGCAACGCAUACACCCAUGUUUUCCGCAAUGUGUGAUAUUUAGGAAUGAACUCUGAUAAUUGUUUUAUUUUGAAACUCUUCUAGAUGUCGGAUUAAAGGUUAAUGAAUGUUUUGGGCAUAAUAAAAACGAAAUUUUUACCCCUGAUUUUCGGGAUGUUACAACAUUUAUUACCAUUUAUUGACAUUUAAAUUGGCCACGACAUGUUUGAAACCAUUUGUGAUAGCAUAAUUAUCAAAUCAAAUAACUCUAUAUAUUGAGACAAGAGCAAUGUUAUCCAUGUGGAUAAAAUGUAUUUCUAUUUUUUGUAUUUUAAAUUCAUGUAAUACAUGGAACAAAAUUGAAGAUGAUAUUCUAUUUCAUGUUAUUGGUCUCAAUAUCUGACACUUUUAGUAUCUAGUAAAUUUUAAUUUUCAUAUGUAAUAUCUUAAACAAUAAAAUUCUAUAAAAUGACGAUGUAUUUUUUCCAUGUCAAAUGUGAUUUUUUUUUUGUAUCAAAGUAGUGUAUUUUAAAAAGAUAUUUACCAAGUUGGAUUGAGUGACAAGUGGAUUGAGUUAACUGAAAAAAAAAAUUAUUUUUCAUGGGUUAGAAAAGAUGAAAAAAAAAAGUUGAUAUAGAACUCACACCACAUGAAUGAUUUGACACCGUUCUACUCCUACGACCUUUACCCCCAACAUCGAAUUCAUUAUGAUUGUUAGCCUAUCUUACGAGACAGACAUGACCUCCUACUACCAUGUAUACUAAGUCCCACUAUUUAUAACUCUACCCUAUAAAACUCGACGGAGCGCUGGGGUGAAGGGUUACGGGAUCCUUUCCCGCUCACCGGAACANNNNNNNNNNNNNNNNNNNNNNNNNGGGGGGGGGGGGGGGGGAAGGCUGCUGCACUCUCUCUCUCUCUCUUCUUCCUAUUGGCUGGUUUUUUUCCCAAGCGAACUGUUUGAAAUAAAUAACAAAAUUAAUUUUUUUUUCAAUACAACUAUUGAAAAACAACAAUGAAUUUAUAUAUAUAUAAUUUUGUUUUUACCUCUAUAACAUCUAUAAAUAUACACAUACUUUAACCUUUCAAACUCACACCUCCUUCUAUGAAUUUCUCUGUACUUUCUUCAAAAAAAGGAAUCCAUACAACCAAACCCCAAACUUCGAUAGAAGGAAAAAAACCAAUGUUUCAAAUUUAAGCACCCCAACUCGAAACAUUUUUGAUAUCGAUUCAUCUCAAGGGGUUUAUCGUCCACAACUCGAUGCUCACAUUUAAUCUUCACUACAAUCACAAUACCAAAAUAUUAGACAAUUUUACCCGAUGCAAGUUCCAAAUGUUACUCCAAAUAUGCUAUUAAACUUUGUUGUUUUUCCUGAUCAACUUUCGCCAAAUCAACCCCAAACUCAAAUCCCACUCUUUCAAUCUCAAACCCAAACCCAACCUAAGCCCAAACACAAUAUCAACAACAAUACCAAAUCUUCGAUGAGUCGGAUGAAGAGAUUGUACGGGAAACUCAACCCACAACCCCCAACCCCACAAAGUAAAACAACAAGUGAGAGAGGGUUCCAUACAACCGGGACGACAGAAGCCGCAACCAUGGACUAAACGAGAAGAGAUAAUUGGGGUAAAAGCUUGGGUUGACAUUUCAGAUGAUUCAGCGACAGGAAAAUGCACAACCUGAGGAUCAUUUUUGGUUUCACAUUCUUGAGAGGUUUCAUAAGGAGAUGGGAAAAAGUGACGAGUAUCGUACCAAUCAUCAAUUGAAUUCAAAGUUUCGAGAAAUAGCGUGGGCCGUUUCAAAAAUGAGCGGGUGUACAACAACCUAAAAACCUAAUGGAAAAGCAGCCAAGGAGAUGAAGAAAUACUUCAGGAAGUUUUGCAUUUUUUCGAGAGGAAGUGGGAAAGUCAUUCAAGUGCCACGAUUGUUGGAAAAUAUUGAUUAAAAGUCGUAGGUGGAAAAAAUACGAGCAAGAGUUUAUACGUCGAGUACAACAAUCAAAACGAACAAAAAUGAGCUCUAGUGGUUACACAACUUCCUCCGAUGCUCGGGUCGGUCUAGAUUUAAAUGACGAGGACGCACUCGAGCUAGAAGAAAUUGUCCGACCGAUAGGUAGGGACAAAGCAAAAAUGAAGGGAAAUGAGACUUCUUGGGGUGAAUCGAAUUUCAGCAUGGACGCGGACCAAGUGCGAAAAAUGGUGGAGAUAUUUGAUCGAUAUAAUCUUAAUUUUGCUGAAAGUUUUGGCAUUCGACAAAGACAAAGAAGGAGAAAAAAAGAAGGAGAACGCAUAGAAACAAGAAAUGGAGGAGAUGAUGUUAUUGAUGAAAAAUACCGACCAUCUUUCGGGACUAGCUUCGGAGCUCGUUUUGAAAAAAAAAGGUGCGGAUUAUGCAAAAAUAUUUUCCCUAAGAGUGUUGUUUGUUUUUUUUUUCUAGUUAUUUAAAUCUUAGGUUUUUAUGUAAUUUUUAUUAUAAUUAACAAUGGCGGAGUUACUAUAUCAUUAUAAAUAAUAUUUUGUUUCUUAUAAUGAUAAUCUUUCCUAAUAAAUAAAGAACUUUUUGUCACAUGUCAAACUCUCAUUGAUUUGACCACAUGUCAUUUUGUGGUUAUUUUCAAUUAAUUUUUUUUUACACAUGUCAUUUUGGGGUUUUUUCAUUUUAUUAAUUUUCACAUAAUAUUUAAAUGUAAUAAUUACAAUAAAUAUAAUAAUAAAAUGCAUAUCAAUUUUAUUAAUUGACUUCCUUUUAAUUUUAAAAUUUCUAAAUUAAAGUUUCAUUAGUUUCCUUUAUUUAUUUAUCUAAAUUAUUUGUUUAAUUUAAAAGAAAAACAAACAAUUUAAUUUUAAUAAUUAAAUGUUUUUCUAUUGUUUUCUUAUAAAUUCAAACUUGUCAAAUGUUUAAAAUUUUAUAUGUUUUUCUUUAAAAUGAACUCAUGUAAUACAUGAGUGUUACACCUAGUGAUAGAUUAUAUCACGAGUACAAUUCAUUUAAUGAAACAUAUGUACGUAUAAUUAGAGAAAAUUUUUAAUAUUAGCAUGUUAAUCCUCUCUAAAAAAUAAAAAUAAUUUUGCCACAUAUCACUCUUUUAUUAAUUUGGACACAUGUCAUUUUUUGGUAUUUUUGAUUAAAUGUUUUUUCCAUUUGUCAAUUUUUUAUUUUUUAAUAUUUUCUUAAUUAACACAUCAUAUAUACACCUCAAUUAAUAAUUACCUUAAUUGAAAAUAACCAAUAAAUUACAAUAUUAAUAGUCAUAUAGUAUUUAAUAUGUUUCCUUUUAAAUUUAAAUUUUAAAAUUUUAAUUUCAAAUCUAAAAUUUCAAAUUUGAAUAAAAUUUGUUUGAACUUUUAUAUUUAAUUUUUGUUUUAUCAAACUCGUAUAACAUACGGGUCUCACACCUAAUGGAGAAUUAUAAAUCAACGUUUAUUGUCGGUCUAAACUUUUGAAAUGUCAUUUUUGCAAUGAUCGGUAUAACUUCUCCUUAAAGGAAUUUUUAUAGUCAUUUUCUCUUUCAAGAUUGUAGACUCUUUUACAUUAUUUUGAUAAAAGAUAUAUUUGAAUAUAUUUUUACGACGUCGGCUUUCCUUAUUCUUAAAUCCUGGCUCCGUUCCUUUUAAUUAAUGUAGUGGUUUUUAUUUUUAAUUAUAUAUAUAUAUAUAUAUAUUACUUAUUCAUUUAUAAAAUUAUAAAUCAUAAAAUCAAUUAUUUUUACUUAAAAAAGAGUGAUACACCUUUACAAAAUUAUAAACCAUAAAAAUCAAUUAUUUUUACUUAAAAAAUAGUGAAAAAACCUUCCCACAUACACCUUGGUUUCUAACUAAGAAAAAAAAUGUAGGAAAAAGGAUAAAAUGAUAAAGAAAAAUAAUAAAAAAAAAAAUAAAAACCUUCCCGUACCCACCCUCCGGCAUAAGAAGGUGCGUCCCUACGAGUACAAGAUACACAGGUGUAGAUACAUAUGUAAAAAGCUAGUAAUUAACCAACUAAUUAUUAAUUAUUAAAUAAAAUAGGGAUAUAAUAUUAAUGAUAAACACAUUAAAAUAUUCCAAAUGCUCAUGAAGUCAACAUGAGAAAUUAUAUUGCAAUAAAUUUCUUGUUGGGUGAGAAAUUCACAAGUAAAAUUUGUAUAGUAAAUAACAAACCGAAAGUUCCAGAAACAGGUCAAAACUUAAAACCCUAAAUGAGCUUACAAAUUUCCAUUGGCCACAUACCCCACCACAAAGGCACAAACAAUCAAUGAAACAAGUGUAGAUGUAGAGGCCUUUUUCACCACAAUCACCCUUCAUCGGCCAUUUCGAAGGCCACGUGAAAUGUCACUAACGUGGCCCUCUAAAUAUCCACUACUUUGUCUUUAACCCCUCCCCCCUCCCUUAUAAAACACUCCAUCCUCCUCCUUAAUCACCAUCACCAACAACCUUCUCUCCUUCCUCAAAAGUACCACCAUCUUUUCCGACAUGGCAGCUUCUUCAAUCUUCAUGGCAACUCCCAUCACACUCCUCAAAAAAACUCCCACCUUCUCCGUCAAAUGCAUGUCACAAACACCUCAAAGCGGUGAACCGGAGAUUUCAAAAUCAGCAACCACCCCAACACCACCACAGAUCAACAUUCCUCCUCCUCCGCCACCUGCUCCAAAGGUCAGCACGAAAUUCUCUGACGUGUUGGCGUUUAGUGGACCUGCACCGGAGAGGAUCAACGGAAGGUUGGCGAUGAUAGGGUUUGUGUCGGCGAUGGCUGUGGAAGUGAGCAGCGGUCAAGACGUGUUUACCCAGAUCGGCAACGGCGGAGUUGCGGUGUUUGUGGGGACUAGCGUCGUGUUGACGUU